This 334-nucleotide ribosomal RNA is filed under the name Agrobacterium tumefaciens. RNAcentral's name for it is "partial 23S ribosomal RNA". It matches the Rfam family "Bacterial large subunit ribosomal RNA", at positions 499 to 821 of the family's 2925-position model. Lineage: Bacteria; Pseudomonadati; Pseudomonadota; Alphaproteobacteria; Hyphomicrobiales; Rhizobiaceae. The record is from RNAcentral.
UACCGUGAGGGAAAGGUGAAAAGUACCCCUGGCGGGGAGUGAAAUAGUACCUGAAACCGUGUGCCUACAAUCCGUCGGAGCCCAGCCGCCCUUGUGGUGUGGGGGUGACGGCGUGCCUUUUGAAGAAUGAGCCUGCGAGUUUGCGUUGUGUGGCGAGGUUAACCCGUGUGGGGCAGCCGUAGCGAAAGCGAGUCCGAAUAGGGCGUUUUUAGUCGCACGAUCAAGACCCGAAGCGAAGUGAUCUAUCCAUGGGCAGGUUGAAGCGCGGGUAAGACCGCGUGGAGGACCGAACCCACUUAGGUUGAAAACUGAGGGGAUGACCUGUGGAUAGGGG